Molecule: ribosomal RNA, 253 nt
Filed under: uncultured bacterium
Lineage: Bacteria
Description: partial 16S ribosomal RNA
Rfam family: Bacterial small subunit ribosomal RNA
Source: RNAcentral
UACAGAGACUGCAAGCGUUAUUCGGAUUCACUGGGCGUAGAGGGUGCGCAGGCGGUUGGGUGUGUCAGAUGUGAAAUCCCGAGGCUCAACCUCGGAACUGCGUCUGAAACUACUCGACUAGAGUAUUGGAGAGGGUAACGGAAUUCCACGUGUAGCAGUGAAAUGCGUAGAGAUGUGGAGGAACACCAGUGGCGAAGGCGGCUCACUGGCCCGGAACUGACGCUGAGACGCGAAAGCGUGGGGAGCAAACAGG